UAAUGACUCUCGGCAACGGAUAUCUCGGCUCUCGCAUCGAUGAAGAACGUAGCGAAAUGCGAUACUUGGUGUGAAUUGCAGAAUCCCGUGAACCAUCGAAACGCAAGUUGCGCCCGAAGCCAUUAGGUCGAGGGCACGCCUGCCUGG
RNAcentral lists this ribosomal RNA (147 nucleotides) under Aulandra longifolia. Its description in RNAcentral is "5.8S ribosomal RNA". It matches the Rfam family "5.8S ribosomal RNA". From Rfam's summary of the family: 5.8S ribosomal RNA (5.8S rRNA) is a component of the large subunit of the eukaryotic ribosome. It is transcribed by RNA polymerase I as part of the 45S precursor that also contains 18S and 28S rRNA. Lineage: Eukaryota; Viridiplantae; Streptophyta; Magnoliopsida; Ericales; Sapotaceae. The record is from RNAcentral.